GACGAACGCUGGCGGCGUGCUUAAUACAUGCAAGUCGAGCGGACCAAACAGGAGCUUGCUCUUGUUUGGUUAGCGGCGGACGGGUGAGUAACACGUGGGUAACCUGCCCGUAAGACCGGGAUAACUCCGGGAAACCGGAGCUAAUACCGGAUAACACCGAAGACCGCAUGGUCUUUGGUUGAAAGGCGGCUUCGGCUGCCACUUACGGAUGGGCCCGCGGCGCAUUAGCUAGUUGGUGAGGUAACGGCUCACCAAGGCGACGAUGCGUAGCCGGCCUGAGAGGGUGACCGGCCACACUGGGACUGAGACACGGCCCAGACUCCUACGGGAGGCAGCAGUAGGGAAUCUUCCGCAAUGGACGAAAGUCUGACGGAGCGACGCCGCGUGAGCGAAGAAGGUCUUCGGAUCGUAAAGCUCUGUUGUUAGGGAAGAAGAAGCGCCGUUCGAACAGGGCGGCGCGGUGACGGUACCUAACGAGAAAGCCCCGGCUAACUACGUG
Molecule: ribosomal RNA, 499 nt
Filed under: uncultured bacterium
Lineage: Bacteria
Description: partial 16S ribosomal RNA
Rfam family: Bacterial small subunit ribosomal RNA
Source: RNAcentral